UACCGCUACACAUUGUGGAACUGUGGUUGUGACUGUGUACUUGGGAUAUAUAUCAUUGAAUAAUUUCAAUUAACAGAUGCUGAAUAUGAUUGCCAAAUACCUGAUUCUCCUCUCAAUAGCAUCGCCAUGCUUCUGCCAAAGGCCUUUCUACGCAGGGAAAAGACCAAUUGGGUUCCCUGAAAUUAUAACCGCUGGAAACGCCAACAAUAUCGGAUCAAGCGAAACCAAGCCUAGCCAUGAAAAGCCAAGCUACGAAAGACCAAGUCUCCCACCACAACUGAAGGGUGAUCAAGGGUAUGCCGAUAUACUCAGCCAUCAGACGUUGGAUCACCAGCCGUUUUGGUUCAUAAAUAAGCAGCAGUAUGACGAGUUUAGAAAACAUCCGAAAACUUACCCGCAGAGGCCUAGCUAUUUCAAUGAUCAUAUACCAGUAAAACAUUAUAGUUAAAUCUUUAGAAAGUGUGAUAAUAAUGCUCGUAUCUAACAACUUUCCUUUGUUGUAUUUUGGAGGCUUUAGAAUUCCAGCUCGUUCAUAAGAAAACUGACAAACACAAUGUAGAAGAAUUUUGUUACAACUAUUGUUAUUUUGUUAUAAUAAGUUUCGUUCUGAUGAAAUAAAUAAUCAACAAAAAGUGUACCGAAAUUAAAUUAAUUUAAAUUGUGAAUUUGUAUAGUAAAGGUCCUACCUAGGUGCAUAAUACUUCUUGCAUCUGGAUAAGUAUUUAAGUACACUAAUUAUUUCGAAA
Long non-coding RNA from Ostrinia nubilalis (European corn borer), 746 nucleotides. RefSeq lists it as uncharacterized. NCBI's taxonomy places the organism in Eukaryota, Metazoa, Arthropoda, Insecta, Lepidoptera, Crambidae. The transcript is spliced from 2 exons. The record is from RefSeq and is a predicted model, not a curated record.